Molecule: ribosomal RNA, 253 nt
Filed under: uncultured bacterium
Lineage: Bacteria
Description: partial 16S ribosomal RNA
Rfam family: Bacterial small subunit ribosomal RNA
Source: RNAcentral
GACAGAGGUGCCAAGCGUUAGGCGGAAUCACUGGGCUUAAAGCGUGUGUAGGCGGCUCGUUUAGUACCUUGUGAAAUCCCACGGCUCAACCGUGGAAGUGCACUCGAAACUGCAUAGCUAGAGUCCUGGAGAGGAAGGUGGAAUGCUUGGUGUAGAGGUGAAAUUCGUAGAUAUCAAGCGGAACACCGGUGGCGAAGGCGGCCUUCUGGACAGUGACUGACGCUGAGACGCGAAAGCGUGGGGAGCAAACAGG